AACUAUCAACCCCCCUGUUUUGUAAUGAGACGGGCGUUUGGGCUUGGAUUAUGGUUGCUGUCGGACCUCCAAAGGAUCGGCUCGACUGAAAUACACGAGCGUUUCCCAGCUAUAAUUAGCAACGGCUUGACUCGGCGUUAUAGAAAUAUUCGCUGAUUACGUUGCAUUAACGAUUGUACCGUGGGCGCUUCUAAUGCGACUUUAACUAGUCAUUGAUCU
Molecule: unclassified non-coding RNA, 219 nt
Filed under: uncultured Agaricostilbales
Lineage: Eukaryota; Fungi; Basidiomycota; Agaricostilbomycetes
Description: sequence contains ITS2
Source: RNAcentral